This 327-nucleotide unclassified non-coding RNA is filed under the name Hevea brasiliensis (rubber tree). The record is from RNAcentral. Lineage: Eukaryota; Viridiplantae; Streptophyta; Magnoliopsida; Malpighiales; Euphorbiaceae.
UUGGGCUGGAGGCUCAAUCGCUAUAAUAAUCUUUGGAUUGGGUCCAAGCUCGCAGGUAUAAAUUUUCCCUCGGAUAUCUGUGGCGUAAAGUUGACCCUUGUAGAACAUAAUGUCAACAAAAGAUAGCUCCUCUUGAUCUUGUAAAACUAUCCAUUCUCCAUCUCCUGGUCUCCAGAAGGCUAGUUUUCGUUCUGAAUCUAUGCCAAAAAUUAACAAAACAAUGCAAUUUGGGUCUGAAGGACUUAGUGAUAUAAUGCAUCUCUUUAUGAAACCCCGGAUUCUUUGGCACUGGAAAGUAGGGAAUUUACUUGCUGAUGGAAGAAAGAU